RNAcentral lists this ribosomal RNA (478 nucleotides) under uncultured bacterium. RNAcentral describes it as "partial 16S ribosomal RNA". It matches the Rfam family "Bacterial small subunit ribosomal RNA", at positions 28 to 523 of the family's 1533-position model. The record is from RNAcentral.
GACGAACGCUGGCGGCGUGCUUAACACAUGCAAGUCGAACGGUAAGGCCCUUCGGGGUACACGAGUGGCGAACGGGUGAGUAACACGUGGGUGAUCUGCCCUGCACUUCGGGAUAAGCCUGGGAAACUGGGUCUAAUACCGGAUAGGACCCUGGGAUGCAUGUCCUGGGGUGGGAAGCUUUUGCGGUGUGGGAUGGGCCCGCGGCCUAUCAGCUUGUUGGUGGGGGGAUGGCCUACCAAGGCGACGACGGGUAGCCGGCAUGAGAGGGUGACCGGCCACACUGGGACUGAGAUACGGCCCAGACUCCUACGGGAGGCAGCAGUGGGGAAUAUUGCACAAUGGGCGCAAGCCUGAUGCAGCGACGCCGCGUGAGGGAUGACGGCCUUCGGGUUGUAAACCUCUUUCAGCACCGACGAAGCGCAAGUGACGGUAGGUGCAGAAGAAGGACCGGCCAACUACGUGCCAGCCGCCGCAGUAA